This 3594-nucleotide long non-coding RNA is filed under the name Sus scrofa (pig). RNAcentral describes it as "lncRNA (ENSSSCG00000054825.1)". The record is from RNAcentral. Lineage: Eukaryota; Metazoa; Chordata; Mammalia; Artiodactyla; Suidae.
UGUUUAACAAGAAAUUCAUCUAAUGAGCUAUGUAGAACAAAAUAUUUACUAAAGGAUAACCUGAAAAAAAUUGCAAAUUUGAAAAAAAAAACAUCUUUUUGUAUAUGUGUGUGUGUCCAAGAGCAACUGCAGUUGUUUAAAGUUUAGGCCCCCAGGUUCUUUGGAGGGUGGAAUAUGUUUUCACUAAUAUAGUUUAAAAUUGCAGGGUCAUGGUGAUAAAAGGCUGACUGAUCUUAAUCAGUUUCAUUAUUAUUAUUCUCUUUAGAUUUGAAUUACUGUCUUCACUCUGGAAGCAGCACUCUCAUACUCCUGCCUUUGGCCUGACACAAAUGUAGCCCUUUCAAUACAUGCUAUUUUCAUUACCCAGAACAAUUACUGAAGAGUUCUUGUUGCUCUGAAUAUAGUACUUUAAAGGACAUUCACAAAAUUAUUGUAUUAUUUUCUUUGUGAUAUAUUUGUAAACAAGAUGGAUCACAUAGUUGUCUGUAGUGCCAUUUCAGAGCUGAAGAGGGUGUGUCAAGCUGUGACUUAAGAAUGGAACCUACAAAAUUGCAUGUGGAACAAGAAACUAUACAUACAUAUAAAUAGAAAGUGCUGUGAAAAAAAGGCAAUUGUUGACAAGAUGUCAAAAUGAGGAAGUAGCAAGGAAUUUCUUCAUCAUUUGAACAUAACAUCACUAUCAUAGAAUUCUAGAUAAGUUGAAAAAUAAUAAUAAUUGAAAGGUUAAAUUACAGGCAAAGAGGCAUUCUUUAUUGCUUUUGCUCUUAGUGCAUAACUAGUAUAGUGUAUUAACUUUAAAAAAUACCAUUCCUAAGAAAAUAGCAUUUCUUUGAAAAAUUCAGUUGUAGUAUUUAGAAUAGUUUGCGACAUACCUGGUGUUUAAUAAUUCAUUGAUUGAUAAAAACAAAGCUGUAAAUACCCUUAGUGGUUUCUCAAGGAAAAACAAAUCUACACAUGAGAAUGCAAAAUGUCAGCUGAAAGUAGAUGUAACUUAUUCUGUGAAACAGAAUGCUUACUGAAUUCUCUGUGUAAAUAACAAAUAUAUAAGCCAGUGCACUACCAUCUUUGUUUACUUUUGAUAUCCACUUUCAUUUUAGAAAUGCUUUAUCUUAACUUCUUGUUACUUUCAGUUGGUAGAUACUCUUUAAUAUUUAAAGAAAGUUGGAAAUUUCCUCCACUAGCUUUUCCUCAACUUUUCCUUUCAAGAAAUUAAAAACCUAAAAGCAUCAAAGUAUUUUGUCUGAUUUAUUGUAAGGAAACCCCAAGUGAUUUUUAAAGGAAAAAAAAUUUAAUAAGAAAGUCAUCAUCAAGAAAAGCUAAAUCAUAAAUUUGGGUAUUCAAAGUAAAUGCUAUGGUGUGGUUUACUUCUCAAAUCAUGGUAUUUAAUUUCAUUUUAUUAUCUUUGCAGUAGCCAGUACUGAGUAAGACGUGUUAACAGAUAUCUAUAAAAGUGUGUUUUUUUUUUUUUCCUUCUUCUUUUUUUGAAUGGCUGUACCUAUGGCAUAUGGAACUUGCCAGGCCAGGGAUUUAAUCAAAUCCACGGCUGUUACAUACACCAUAGCUAUGGCAAGACUAGAUCCUGAGCCAGGCUGGGGAUCGAAUCCUUGCCUCUGCAGUGACCUGAGUCACUACAGUCAGAUUCUUAACCUACUGUACCACAGUAGAAAUUCUGGUAAAAGUAUGUGUUUUUUUAAAAAAAUAAGUUUAUCAAAAUAUGAUAUUAUUUUAGUUUCCUAGGACUGCUAUAUCAGAAUACCACAAUGUGAGUGUUUAAAAAAACAGAAAUUGAUAGUCCCCGUUCUGGAGGCUGGAAGUCUGAAAUCAAGAUGUCACAGGGCCACAUUCCCUUUGAAGCCUAAAGGCAAACUUUCCUUGUAUCUUCCUAGUGUCUGGUGUUUUGCCAGCAUCUUGGCAUACCUUGGCAUGUAGAUGCAUCACUCCAGCCUUCCAUCUUCAGGUAGUGUUCUCUCUGUUUCUUUUCAGAGUCUUUCUUCUGUACAUGUCAGUGACUGUGUUAAAAUUCCUCUUUAUACGAAGGCACCAGUCAUACUGGAUUGUGGCUCAGCCUAGCGACCAAAUUUUAACUUGCACUCAUGAAUGUUUUAGAUAUGACUUGUGUGUAUAAAUGCAUAAAUAUGGUUAUGGAAAAACAUAUAACUUAUACUACUGUUAUAUGUGUGGAGAGUAAUGAGCACGACAUAGAGUGAAAGUGAAAGAACUUUCAUACUUUAUACCCUUUUGUAUUAUUUCGUCUAUUUACAACAAGAAUGCUUUGAAAUAAAAAUAUUGUAAAAAAAGAAGAUAGAAAGGGAAAUGUUGAUUUUGUUUGAAAAACAUUCUAAAGUCAUUUUGGGGAAAGAAAAAAAGAAAGAAAGGGAGAGAGAGAGUAGCAGGGAAGGAGGAAAGAAAGGAUGGAAAGAAGACAAACAUACAAGCUAUGUGAUUCUGGAUUCAGAGAGGAAACAUAAGAAUGUCAUAACUCAGCCAGGAAUGUGAAGAGGAUCAGAGGAUCAUGGUGGUCGGCUUGGACUGCCAUAACAAAAUACUGUAGAACGGCAGCUUAACCAACAGAAAUAUAUGUUCUGGAAGCUGCAAAGUCCAAGAUCAAGGUUCCAGAAGGUUCAGUCUCUGGUGUGGACUCUCUCUCGGACUUGUGGAUGGUCACCCCAUCUUUACAUGGCCCUUUUGCUGUGUGCUCUGAGGGAAAGGUCUCUGGCGUAUCUUCCACUUCUUAUACUAGCACCAGCCCUGGGAGAAUAGGGCCCUCCCCUCUUGACCUCAUUUAGCCUUUAUCACAUUCUCACCAGCCCUAUCUCCAAAUAUGGUUGCACUCCCACAUAUGAAUUGGGGAGGACAAAAAGAUUCAGUGUAUGUGACAGAUCAAUUACUACCAUCAUUUAGGAUACCCUUUUGUACCCCCAAGAUAUUUCCCAAGCCAAAGACAGACAAAAGAUGUGUGUGCAAGUUAGAAAACCACAAUUACUACUGAUUGGGUCUGGCCUCGACUAAUGUAGGUUUUAGAUGGUAUUUGUCACAGGAAAGAUGGUGUUAGUGAAUUCCUUUGCUCUUUUAUUAUCAUUGUAAGCCAACCACAAGAAGAUGAUGACCAUUGAAACAUUAAGCAACAAGAAAGUCAGAGAUUACAAACUAAAGAGAUCUAUUCCUAAUUCCCUUCUUUGUGACCCUGUGUAUAUCAGCAGCAGCUGAGCUUCUAUUUGUUUCUAAAGAGACUUCCAUUGCAGGAGACCCAGAAGUAUGAAGGAAACAUGAUAGUUCGGUUCAAUUUUACUAUUCCCCAGUUCAUCUGUCUUGCAUAAAAAAAUGACAAUAUCCUCAUUUGUUUCUCUGGAAACAACAACUGUGGAUUAAGAGUGAUGUGCUAGUUAAAAAAAAAAAAAUAGAGAGAGUGAUGUGCUAGUGACAGACACUGAACCUGUCCCUAAAAGCCCCAGGUUAUCCACACCAGACAAGGUUGAAUUUUAAAUACAAUUCAUCUUGGCUUCAUGUCAAUGGAUGUUGCACACCACUACCUCCCUAAAAUUCUCUCUCCUAAUUCUCAGUGUUGGAAAUUACCUGUAGUGUGUUGUUAAAGGU